UUUUCCAUUGCACCUCCGACCAGUACGUUGUUUGCAAACAUAAAGGACGUGAAUUUGAACUUGAUUUUAUUGGCUAAUCAACUAAGUGUUGAAGGUUAUAGUUAAUGUGAUUUUAUUCACAGUCAUUUAGUGAUUCAGCGAUUCUAUUCAUCAAGGUAAACACUGUUACUUAGUGACAAUAUUGAAGAAAAUACGAAUUAUGUGGAGCAUACUUUAGGUAUAUAUUAAAACAAUUGGGUGUUUAAUAGUCAUCGGUGUAGACCUUACUAAGGUGUUUUCGAAAUCGAGGAAUGCUUCCAGAAGAAUCUCCGGAGGAUUUGCCAGCCGCAACUGAGAAUGGGGAAUAUGUUAUACCAGAAUUGGAGUUUAAAAUUCCUUCUGCUCAUAUUACUUUAAGCCCCAAGAAACACGUGACGUACACAAUAACAAUUGUGAAAGAAGGAUCAUCGCCAGACAGCCACCCGAGUGUUAUAGAGCGGCGUUACACAGAGUUUCUGGAGCUGUACACAGGCCUUCAUCAGGAGUUUCCCACCAUCAUGGCAAACUACAACUUCCCAAAGAAAGUAGUAUUGGGAAACUUCAAAAACGAGACUAUUGAUAUGAGGAAGUGUGGUUUCGAGGUUCUUCUGUCAGUUGUGGCUCAGAACGAAAAAAUCCGGGAAUCCAGUUCUGUGAUCAAUUUCUUUCUUGGGAAGGAGCAAAGUGAAGCUCUCAAACUUAUCAGUGAAAAAAAUUACAGUGCGGCAAUAGCACCGCUGGAGAUGAUUUUCCGACUGCUGAACAAAUUGUUCACCAACAGACAUCCGCUGGUGCUGCGUGCGCUGUGUCUGCUGGUGGCAUGUUGUGACGCGGCGGGUGUUGUCUGGACACAGAAGUACGCUGAGACAGCAGUGACGCGGUACGAGGCAGUGAGUGACGCCGACUCGCUGCGUUACUACGUGCCACUACUGCAGCUCUGUGUGCGACUGCUGCCCGGCGCAGAAGCUCUGCAGGAACGGCUCAGCUCUAUGAAGAGAAGAGGGAUGAAGGUGGUGGGGUGUCCUCCGCUGCUGGACGCCGUCUUGGCCGACUUUCCCUCCACUUCAGGGCAGACAUAACUGUAAACUAGUAAGUGGAUUUUAGCUUAAGCCUACACUCAAAAGCCACUUUGAAGGCUCUCUGUAAAAGACGCUCUUGGACCAAAUUAGCUUAUUAUGUUUUAAAAGAACGUGAGGUUGAGCACCCAAGGAAUUGCUGUCAAUGCCUAAUAUAUAUUUUUAUACCUUUGCUUAUCUUUAUCCAUGCAUACUAAAACCACACACUGAUUGAAAGUAAUGUUGGCUAAUACAAAAUAAUGUGUGUUUGUAAACAAAGUAUCUAUCAUGUUUUCAAUCAGGUGAAAUAUUUAAGUACUAUUUAAUAGUAAUGUAUUUUGGGUACCAUACUAUCCAUUCUACCAAAUUGUUUCUUCCUUCUGUUUUUAUAGAUUCGAUCAGUUUCUGUUCGGCUAUGUAAUUUCAAGAACAGGCCAGAUUUUGAUCCUUCUUAAUAAAACCGUUUUAAUGUUUGUCGUGCUUUACAUUUUAAAGCUAGUCUAAAGAAUCUCAAGUCAAAUCGUCUGAGAUAACGAAACAUUGCGUUCACAUUGAGUGUAUUUUUAUUAUAGGGCAAUGGAAUUGAGUUGGUUUUAGUGUUCAUAUCGUAUGUUGAAGAUGCUGCUGUGAGUAAGACUGUGUUGUCCCUCUACCGAUUGCGGUCCGCCAAGUUGCAUUGUGGUCAAACCACCCAGAUGCAUUGUGGUCAAACCACCCAGAUGCAUUGUGGUCAAACCACCCAGAUGCAUUGUGGUCAAACCACCCAGAUGCAUUGUGGUCAAACCACCCAGAUGCAUUGUGGUCAAAUCACCCAGAUGCAUUGUGGUCAAACCACCCAGAUGCAUUGUGAUCAAACCACCCAGAUGCAUUGUGGUCAAACCACCCAGAUGCAUUGUGAUCAAACCACCCAGAUGCAUUCAAUGAUUGCCUGUUCGAUUCAUGGAUAAAGUGUUAAACACAACAAAUCCAUGUAAUGAUAUUUGUUUUUCUAGUAAUUUAGAUUUAAAUGUGUAUGGAGAAUUUGGUUUGAAACUGAUGAGGAAGAGGUGUAUUUUGUGACAGUGGCAGAGAGAGGUACUACAGAAGUAGAGUGGCACAAUACCUUGUGUUUGGACAGACUCUAAUACAAUACACACCACUUGUAUUUAACAUAAUAGAGAGUGUUGAAAAAUAAACAUGAACACAUGUUUUUGGUCCAGGAGUGUUAUAUUGCCACUAUUUCUAAUAAGUUUUAAAUGCUUUCUUAGCAUACCUGCUCUAACCAUGUUUUUAAUAAGUUGAUUAUAUUUUAAAAUAUUAACCAAUUACAUCGUUAUGUUUACAUAAUGUCAAUUCUUCUAAUAUGAGUCAGUGCAAACUAGAUUACCAAAUUAAUGUCAAAUUGCAUUUAAUAUUAUCACUCAAAAUUGGAAAAAUUGAUUUCUGGGUUUGAAAAACUUAUAAAAUAUAUAUGUAAUAAACAAAUAAAUAAAUAUAUAAAUAUAUAUAUAUAUAUAAAUAUAUAUAUAUAUAUAUAUAUAUAUAUAUAUAUAUAUAUAUAUAUAUAUAUAUAUAUGAUAGUAAUAAUAACUUUAAAAUGUAACUGUCGAACCUCAUUAUGAAGAUAGAGUGAAAAGUGGAUGAUUCAAGAUAGUGGAUCAUUCAAACUUAUCUUCUGGUCCUUGACAUUUGUUAUAUACUGUUCAAAUAGGGUGGGUAAUUAAAGUUUUGUUUGGAUAGUUUAAAAUUUUCAUGUUUAUUUUACAUUUUGUCUGAGCUAGAAUUCCUAUCAGUUGGCAAGGUAACAGUAUAAUGUACAGUAAAACGUCUUACUGUAGUCACACUAUGUUUACAAGAUAUGGCUCCAACCUGCCACUCGAACCGCUGUGCCUUCUUGAUUCUCACGAAGUUAGCACUAUGAGCGAUCAGAGUACGUUGCCACGCCACAGUCCGGGUCUGUACUCAAUAUUUAACUGUAUUACGAGGUUACUGUAGUCACACUAUGUUUACAAGAUAUGGCUCCAACCUGCCACUCGAACCACUGUGCCUUCUUGAUUCUCACGAAGUUAGCACUAUGAGCGAUCAGAGUACGUUGCCUCGCCACAGUCCGGGUCUGUACUCAAUAUUUAACUGUAUUACGAGGUUACUGUAGUCACACUAUGUUUACAAGAUAUGGCUCCAACCUGCCACUCGAACCACUGUGCCUUCUUGAUUCUCACGAAGUUAGCACUAUGAGCGAUCAGAGUACGUUGCCACGCCACAGUCCGGGUCUGUACUCAAUAUUUAACUGUAUUACGAGGUUACUGUAGUCACACUAUGUUUACAAGAUAUGGCUCCAACCUGCCACUCGAACCGCUGUGCCUUCUUGAUUCUCACGAAGUUAGCACUAUGAGCGAUCAGAGUACGUUGCCUCGCCACAGUCCGGGUCUGUACUCAAUAUUUAACUGUAUUACGAGGUAGGAGUCUCCCACCUUCGCUAGAGGUUCAUUCUGAUAGUUACACUACACAUAAUGUGUUACUGACAGAGUGAUUGUACUCAGUUUGUUUACAACAAUCCCGUGGAGUGACUAUCAAAAUUCAAGUCUAUAGGUCUGUUCGUUUAUGAUGUAUUGUAGGGGUAGAUGGCCAAACAGAAAUACAAUUUUUCGUGUCCUUGAAUGAUAAACUUUUCUAAUGCUCAGCUUAUGAGGGAUGGAUUGGGAUUGAAGCUCAGGAAGUUAACUAAUUUUUUUGACACAUUUUUUCUCAACAAACGAUGAAAUGUUUUUUCUUAAGGAAGAACCAAAAGCAAUCCAAGACAUGUAGUACAAAAACAUAAUGAUCAAUGAAUAUUUACACACAAUUAAAAAUCAGCAAACUACAUUUGUGACAGCAAAUUUCAAAUCAAUUGGUACAUGCAGAGUAUUAAAAUACCUUCAGAUCUAAUAAAAACAACAAUAAUAAUAAUCUUUUGUGCUAUAAAAAUGUACAAUAUUAUUGAAAAAGUCAUGGUAUACAGCAGUUCAUCCACAAAUUGUUAAUAAUUAUUAACAAUCCAUAUUUCUGGAGUUGAAUGAUUUAUUAAAGUUGUAAAAUGAAUUCUCCAACAACCAGAGAUGGAACUUAUUUUUAAAAAUAUCAAAGGGAUAUGAGAAAAUCUUUUUCUUCAAAAAGUUAUAAAUUUUUAAAGACUUAUCACUUAUCAGGAUUUUACUUAAAUAAAAGAGUCAAAUUUCAACAUUGUUUCGAUUAUGAGUGUUGCGUUCAUGAAUUUGACGUUUAAUAUUAAGGAAAUUGGAUUGUAGUGUAUGGAAGUCACACACACAAACACACACACAUACAAUUUUUUAACAGUUUAGAAAUGAAAACAUUUGAUGUGAGAUUUACAAUGCUUUCUGAAGUCAAAAUUUUUAAAACCCCUGAUUACCUUCUUUGUAAUACUAAUAUUUUUGUAAUUCUGGUACAGUUACCAUAUAAAACUAACCCAUGUUGAAAAAGGCAAAAUAUGCGGCUCUUAUGUAAUUUAGCAGUGCAAUAUCGUUUAGUCUACUCAAAAGAUAAAUAACUCGAGAAAGUCUUUUAUUUAGACAAUGAAUAUGUGUUGUGUUGCCCAUCAAGAUUUUAUCAAGAUUGAUACCCAAAAAUUUAACUGUGUUUGAAAAGCCUAUAAACAAAAAUGAUGCCUAAUAGUAAAUAAAGUUUUUUGUCCUUAUUUAACAUUUGCAUAAAACCAAUUUAAUGUGUUUUCUAAUGUAUCAUUUGCUAAUAGUUCCAGAUCAUGAAUACUUUGUCUGAAAUUAAAAAGUGUACUAUCAUCUGCAUAUAUGCUAUAUAUAAUAUGCUUUUUGAGUUAUGGUAAAUCAUUUAUAUAAACUAAAAAGAGUAGAGGUCUGGGACAGAUCGCGGAACUUCUUCCAACCAUUUACCAUUACAUAAACCAAGUGCUUGCAAUUAUCUAGAUAUGAUUAUAUAAACUAUAUAUAUAUAUUAUAUAUCAGAGGACAAACCUGUGUGAUCUGAUGGAAAGAAAUCAACUAGAUCGCAAAUGUGUUGUGACAAUUAUAGUCUGUUACUAUCGUGGCUCCCAUACUAAACACAGUGACCUGGGGUACUCAUGCUCUGACUGAACCGUUGGUAAAUAACAAAAUGAUUUAUGAAAACAAUUUAAGGUGUAAAUUUACAAUUAAGAUUUUGAAAUUAAUUCAUGUUUAAAUAUUGCUAAUUUUGUAAAAUGGUCAAAUAAAAAUAAAAAAGCUAACAUUUAGAUCUUUUAUGAGGAUUGUAAUUUAAUUUUAAUUAGUUGUUAUGACAAGUUAAUUAUAAUUAGUUAAUUAUUUAUGAAGAUAAUUUAAGCCAUAAAUCGUUAUUCUAGGUUUUGAAAUAUAUUCGAAUCUAAUCAAAUCUUGUUGGAUGAUAUUUUUGUUGUGUUAGAUGACAGCUAUAAUUAUAUAUUAGAUUAUUUAAGAUGACUAAUACACUUAUAUAAUAUCAGAUUAAGUUUUAAAAGGUUUGUUUAACAAGUUUAAAUCUAGAUUAAUACCCAUAGUUACUUUUUAAUCAAACUAAAACUAACAGAAGAAGGAUUGCAGAGCGGAUUGUAAUUAUUGAUAGCUUUAUGAAGGUAAUAGAAAAUCUGUACACUUUUGUGAGAUUCUACUUAACUUUGUCAUAUUAACUACGAAUUUGUAAUCUACAUAAACUCAUGUACCAGAUGUACAUGUUGCUUUAUGAAGGAUUUCAAAAUUUACCUUAAAAUAAUAACAGGCAGACUAAUAUUAUCAAGUUAAAUUAAUUUAUGGUGAAAUGAAGGUUAGUGAUGCAACAUAAUUAUUCCGUUAUAUUUGUAGUGUUUGUUUGUUUUAAUAUUGAUUGUAAUCAAUAUAUCUAAUUGAUUAUAAUUAAGGGUAUAUUUUUGCUUUCAUCAAUGAAAUGAGUGGAGUAUCAGUGUUUAUUUUAUUUAUUUAUUAUUAUUUAUUUAUAAAAGUUAUAUUUAUAAAACAAUCAGCUUUAUAUUAUUUAUUUUUGGUUGUGAAGAAGGUGUGAUUCACUUUAUAUAUUGUUAAGUUUUUGUUAUUAAGUAAUAUGUUUGUUAUAUUGUGAUAUAUACUGAAUUCAAAAAUCUCUGGUUAUAAUGAAGAGAUUAAAUAUAUUGUUUUAGGUUUAAUAUGUAUUAUUGUGUUCAUAGUGAAAGAGACGACAAAUCACACUAGACUAAGUUAAGUAAUACUGUUGAAAAACAAAAAAGUUAUUUGAACUGUGGGACAUAAGAUUUGUGUCAUUUAAAUGUAUUGCAAGAGGAAUAAUGGGUUUUAAAUUUCUGAAGAAAUAGAGCAUCAUUUUAAUACUGAAAUAAAAGAUAUCUCAUAUACUAACAAAAAAUUGGUAUUUGUUAAUACUAAUACUCAAAAAGACUAAUUACAGCCAUAAUUAGUAUUUGUCAUUAAUUACGGAUAAUUUGGUAACUGCGAUACUACUACGGUAGAAGAAUUUAACGAUUCUUACAAUUUAUUGAUUGUAAUUGUUAUUGAUUAGUUUAGAGUUGGAAGUAUAUUUUUCAGUUUACUUGCAAAUUUAAAUGUGUUUUUUGGAAUGUUUAAAUUAGAUAUAUUAAUAUAAAAAUAUAUAUUUGUUAAUUUUUAGAGAAUUAAAUAUGAACAAUGGAAUAGUUGUACAAAUUUAUUGUGUAAUGUGUUUUUAUACUAACAAAAUUAAAAGUUAUUUCAGUUUGAAUUUAAUUGCUUGAUGUUGUAUUUUAAAGCGUAAGUUUUUGUUUGGCAGUCUUACCCUGUAAUAGAAAAAAAUAAAAAGUGCUAAAUUUACAUAGUUGUUCCCUCAAGAAUAAAUUAAAUAAAAAUAAAAAUUGAAUAUUAAAAGAUAUUAAAUCACACAUUAAAUGAUACAAUGAUCACAAUAUGUUCUGAAAUGUUUUAUGAACUUUACUGAAAUAAUUUGUACUUCAGCCAGUUUUUAAAUUCUUCAACAAUAUAUUGUACAUUUGACUCCUGCUUGUGUUCACUUCUAUUUAUUGUUAUUUAUUGAUUAUAUUUUACACUGUUAAUAUACUCAUUAUAAUACAUUUUAUAACAAAAUGUCUUGUUAUGCUUUUUGAUUACUCUAUUUUGUCAUAAUUGUAAUUAAAUGUAAUUAUUGGUAAUUUAUCAUUAUAAUAUUGUUAAGUUUGUUAUUAAUCAAGUUGUAUGAAAUAUAAAGUGUUACAAGUUAAAGCAAAAUUUUAGUCCAUAAGUGGCAAUUUCUGCAAUCUGCAGACAGAGUGAGUAUAUAUUGCUAUAUACCUUACAAUAUAUUGAGAAUUAAUUGUUUGGGAAAUUUAUCAAGUUUUCCGGAACUUGUAAAAAAACCUGUUAAAUCUAUACAGUAUUAUUUAAUAAUUAUUUUAAGUGACUAAGAAAUAGUUAUAUUUAUUUUAAUACUAUGUGACUGAUACUUGUAAUAUAAUAAUAAAUAUAAUAAAAUUUAACCAAACAACUGUUCAAUUCCAACCUGUCGUGAUUGUACAGAAUUAAAUGACAAUUUUUCUAAGUUUCUUGGUUGUAUUCAAAAUAUUGUACAAAUUUAGUUUAUUUUUUGAAUGAAUAAGGUAAUAAAACCAACUUUGCCAUGCAUAAAUACAAUAAUCUCUAAUGUGUUUGUCAAAUGCUGUUUUUCCAGUAAUAAUUGGAAAAUUCAAUGAAUGUAAAAUAUAUCUUUUGAUUAUGGCAAAACAACAGUCAUAACUACUUUGUUCUGCUCUCAUAGUAAUUAUUGUUAUUUAGUAUCACUUAGAAAUGUUGAUUGCUCAUUUUACCAAAACUUUAGUACAGAAAAUCAUUGUUACAUAAAAUAUAAUUGGUGUAUUUUAUUUGUGACUCGUAUAUUUUCUUUAUUAAUACAGUUACUGAUUGAUGUUAACAUGAUUAGCUUAAUCAAAUAUAAUUUUAGUUCACAGAUUCAAUUAUAAAAAAGCCUAAGAAUAUAAUUUGUAUCAAGUACCAAGAACAGUUUCAACAUCACAACAGCAAUAAAUCUAAAAGUUAAGAUUUAAAAAUAAAUAAAAUAACUAAUAAAUAUAAAAAAUGUAUAAAAUCAAUAACACAAACUAAUGGGUUAUAAUUCAAUUGAUUACAUUCAUUUAAAUUUGUGUACAAAAUGAACACUGUUUUAAUAGCCAUAUUUACAAUGUUCACCUCUUUUUAAUUACUCCAGAGGAUGGAAUAAAGCAGUGAUUACAACAAUUCACCUUUACAAAAUUGUUCUAUCUAAAUAAUGCUUGAAUAAAUAAGAACAGGUGGUGAUAACGAAGGCGAUGGUAUUGUCUUAUUUUAUUGAUGAAUUGAAAUACAUUAAAUUUUAUUCUAUCCAAAAAAUUAUUUAACACAAAAAAAUAAUGUAAUACAGUGUGUGAACAAAGUUAUGUCUCACUUUGAAAUAACUAUUUACAAAAGUAUAUACAGCACAAGAAUGAGGUUAACAUAGGAUUAAAGAAUACUGUAAACAGGUUUAUGUCAGUUUAUCUGACCCUGCAGACCUCCAAGCGAGCUUUCAUCUUCUCUCAUAUUUUGAUCAGGACUUCUGGGCUAACUGAUUCAAUUGCAGCUCUCAUUCGUUGCUUUAAGUGUUCAAUAAACGAGCAUUAUGACGAUGCACAUUUCCAGACAAGUGAAAGGUAACAUCAACACAAAAAACAAUUCCGUUUAUAAAAUCUUGAUCCAGUCAAUUUUCAUACAGAAUAAGAACGGCAAUGUCAUACCUCUUUAAUUUGUUAUCUGGUAUCAAAGCAUGCACUAUUUGAGGUUAUUUAAGUUAAAUUUAAGUCGUUUCUUCAAAACUGAAUGAAUUGUAUACUUAGGGACAUUCAACUCAUGUCCAUGUUGGACUUCACACUUGUACUUCUUGUACUUCUUACAAAAAGUGUUUGAAUUUUUUUUACGGUUUGAUCUCCUGUUUAUAGCCUACCUGUCUUUAUGUUGUCGAAAAAAAUGUCUGUUUCCUUGAACGUCUUAUCCCAUUAAUAAAUUCUACAUCUCUGAGGGAUUUUCAUGAAACACUCUGUGAUACUAACACUGAACUGAAAUCACAGCAUAAAACUUUGCUAGCCACAAAAUAUACUGAACUUUUCAUUACAAAGUUGCCAUUACGGCUGUCUUUGUAAAAACGUUACCCACAGUUAUCCACAGAUGAGAACAGUGGGUAACUCGGCUAGUAAAACAAAACUUUAUAAACCAAUGUUUUAAUUUAUAUCUGUUUCAUAGACCUGCGAUCAAUAAUAGAGUAGCUAUAAUCAAUUAAAAGUGUGACAUGACUUUGUGGACACACUGUAAUGUAUAUAGGAUCCAUCAUUGUACUCAAUGACAAGAUUAUAAUCGUGUAACUUAUUGUAAUUUUGUAAUUUUGAAUUUGUUUUGUUUCAUAGCAUAAUCAAGUGUUAAACUCUGCUUGUUUUAUUCCCUUAGAAACUAUUCUCAAGGUCUCUUGGAAUUUCCCUAUCCCUAGCCGUAUUAUGCAUGCAUAAGGUUGGCUGAUAUUUUGUAUAUUAGAAAGUGUCAAUUAGACUACAUUUAAUAUAUUUUAAUAAUGCAAAGAUUUAACAAUAAACUGAAAACUAUUUAUAUUUGCACUUCAUGAUAUAAAUAUAAUAUAUACCUUGCUAAUAUUUAUAUACUCAAAAUUUUAUAAAGUUGGAAUAAUGUUCAUGUGUAGAAACAUGUGAAGCAUAAUAAAAACACUCAUAAAGGAA
Molecule: unclassified non-coding RNA, 9765 nt
Filed under: Homalodisca vitripennis (glassy-winged sharpshooter)
Lineage: Eukaryota; Metazoa; Arthropoda; Insecta; Hemiptera; Cicadellidae
Description: sorting nexin-20, transcript variant X1
Source: RNAcentral